GUUAAGCGACUAAGCGUACACGGUGGAUGCCCUGGCAGUCAGAGGCGAUGAAGGACGUGCUAAUCUGCGAUAAGCGUCGGUAAGGUGAUAUGAACCGUUAUAACCGGCGAUUUCCGAAUGGGGAAACCCAGUGUGUUUCGACACACUAUCAUUAACUGAAUCCAUAGGUUAAUGAGGCGAACCGGGGGAACUGAAACAUCUAAGUACCCCGAGGAAAAGAAAUCAACCGAGAUUCCCCCAGUAGCGGCGAGCGAACGGGGAGGAGCCCAGAGCCUGAAUCAGUGUGUGUGUUAGUGGAAGCGUCUGGAAAGGCGCGCGAUACAGGGUGACAGCCCCGUACACAAAAAUGCACAUGCUGUGAGCUCGAUGAGUAGGGCGGGACACGUGGUAUCCUGUCUGAAUAUGGGGGGACCAUCCUCCAAGGCUAAAUACUCCUGACUGACCGAUAGUGAACCAGUACCGUGAGGGAAAGGCGAAAAGAACCCCGGCGAGGGGAGUGAAAAAGAACCUGAAACCGUGUACGUACAAGCAGUGGGAGCACGCUUAGGCGUGUGACUGCGUACCUUUUGUAUAAUGGGUCAGCGACUUAUAUUCUGUAGCAAGGUUAACCGAAUAGGGGAGC
This 622-nucleotide ribosomal RNA is filed under the name Escherichia coli. RNAcentral describes it as "partial 23S ribosomal RNA". It matches the Rfam family "Bacterial large subunit ribosomal RNA", at positions 1 to 666 of the family's 2925-position model. The record is from RNAcentral. Lineage: Bacteria; Pseudomonadati; Pseudomonadota; Gammaproteobacteria; Enterobacterales; Enterobacteriaceae.